Molecule: long non-coding RNA, 1116 nt
Organism: Cavia porcellus (domestic guinea pig)
Lineage: Eukaryota; Metazoa; Chordata; Mammalia; Rodentia; Caviidae
Exons: 2
Source: RefSeq, a predicted model, not a curated record
GCCCCAGGCCUACAAUCUCUCCAGCCUUUGAUGAUUUCAUGUAACCAUGCCAACCAUGACAUCACUGACGAAGGGCUUUAGAGCCAUAUUCAAUAUGGCUGGAAUCAAGAGCUGCAGGGUGUGUCAGUGUGUGGUCAGAGACAAAGGAAAGCCAUAUGACCCCUAAGACACCACUGGUUUUGCCAAGUUGUCCAGAGCCAGCUUCUCUAGGCCUCACCAGCUGAAUGUGGGCAGGAGAUACUUUAGCCACAUCCUGAGAUGUGCCUGCAUCCACAAGAGAAAGAAGAAAGCUAUCUCCGAGUUGUUAAAAUGAUUCAGACAACCGCCAUCACUCCUGGGUUACUAACAACCAGCUCCAUCCUCUUCUAACUUCUCUCCCUCCUCCCAUCUCCUCUGCUGGUGUCCUUGAGCCAGAACUCCCAGCAUCCCUGCAAGGACUGGACUCUCCAUAUACUGUUUCUUCUGCUCAUCCUAAAGCAUCCUUAUGAAGCACAAUGACAUGUGUGGAUUCUCCAGAGGCUACUCGGAUCCCUUGGAAGAGACCCAGGGUACAGAAAUCAAGUCACCUGACUACCCCAGCACUGUGCCAUUGGUCCAAAUACCUAACACCUACAUUUAAAGGAUGAAAGGGUUUAUUUGGCUCAAGGUUUCUGAGAUUCCAUCCAGUCACCUGGCUCCACAGUAAAGACAUGAGGGAGGAAAGUUGUUCAUCUCAUGGCUUCACCAUGAAGUAGCCAGGCAGCUUCACCAGACGCCAGCACCCUGCUUUUGGACUUCUCGGCCUCCUGAAUUGUGAGCCCAAUACACUUCUGGUCUUUAUAAAUUACCCAAUCUGCGGCAUUCUGUUAUAGCAGCAGAAAACAGACUAAGAUAGAGAGGCAAGUGUCAUAGACAAAGAACUGAUCUUCACCCGAGUCACUUGUUAUGGUUUAAUUUGAGCUCACGAAGUCAAGAAAUGCUACAUGAGCCUGUCCUUCAACUCUCAAGGAUGAAGCAAGCCACUGAAAAUGUCUCUGGACUGAUAAACUGGCAAUGUUUUCUUCAAGGCUAUUUCUAUUUCCUCUUUUAUAUGUAUCACUGAAAGAAUAAUAAUAAAAUUAUAAUAAUGAUAAUAAA